CGCUUUCAAAAUUGUUAUUAUAAAUAAAAUAUAAUACAAUAGUUUUAAGCCUGACAGGACCAGUUAAAAUUCAUUCGUCACGAUGGCAUGGAUACAGAUUUUCUGCUUUGCAUAUCUUCCCUGGAUAUUGCAUACAUGGAACUGGGACAGGUAUGAUGAAUGCCUUGAAAGAGGAAUGUUCUACUGUUAUAUUAGUGAGGAGUGUAUCAGCAU
Long non-coding RNA from Mya arenaria, 213 nucleotides. RefSeq lists it as uncharacterized. The record is from RefSeq and is a predicted model, not a curated record. The transcript is spliced from 3 exons. Lineage: Eukaryota; Metazoa; Mollusca; Bivalvia; Myida; Myidae.